CAAGAAAUAGUUUAAUUAAAAUAUUAAUUUUGGAGAUUAAUGAUAAAGGUAUUUCUUUUUUCUUGA
This 66-nucleotide transfer RNA is filed under the name Rhingia campestris. Its description in RNAcentral is "tRNA-Pro". RNAcentral also lists the same sequence under 1 other name. The record is from RNAcentral. Lineage: Eukaryota; Metazoa; Arthropoda; Insecta; Diptera; Syrphidae.